GAGGGUAUAGCUCAAGUGGUAGAGUGCGUGCUUAGCAUGCACAAGGUCCUGGGUUCAAUCCCCAGUACCUCCU
Molecule: transfer RNA, 73 nt
Organism: Camelus ferus (Wild Bactrian camel)
Lineage: Eukaryota; Metazoa; Chordata; Mammalia; Artiodactyla; Camelidae
Rfam family: tRNA
About the family: Transfer RNA (tRNA) molecules are approximately 80 nucleotides in length. Their secondary structure includes four short double-helical elements and three loops (D, anti-codon, and T loops).
Source: Rfam